Molecule: long non-coding RNA, 1812 nt
Organism: Ziziphus jujuba (common jujube)
Lineage: Eukaryota; Viridiplantae; Streptophyta; Magnoliopsida; Rosales; Rhamnaceae
Exons: 4
Source: RefSeq, a predicted model, not a curated record
AAACAAGUUUAUGUUAAAAAGAAGGUCAAGCUUAACUCAAUAUAUAACCCUGCAAAAAUGCAAAUUACGUUUGUUUUAGCGUAUAAUAUUUAUAGCCAGAAAAAUAAACAAAAGUUUGCUUAGUGUCUAACGAAUCCAAUUCUAUUUCUAUCAACGGUUGUAAUAGACAACAAAAAAAAAAAAUAAAAACAAGGGUCACAAUUUAUUUUGAAGAGCAGUAAAAUUCCAACGGUAAAAAAAUUUGAAUUUGAAAUGCUAACGAUAAAAUAAUUUGAAUUUAAACACUUUGAUUCCCUUAGGUAUAUAAACUUUUGGGAAAAAAAAAAAUCUACUAUGCCUAUCCUUUUCAAUUUAUUCAGAUCGUCUCCUCCAUCGCAUGGAGAUGAAUUUGUUCACCUGUUUUACUUUCCCUAAGAAACCCCAUUUAGUUCGUUGUUGAUUCAGUUUCAAUGCGUCAAUAAGACGAAAAACAACAAGAAGAAGAUGCGGUCAGUAGCUCUGAUUUCUGGGACUGGAUUUAACUUCAGGGUUGUUUCUCAUACACGUCAGUGAUCACUUUUACUCUGGGGAGGAAAGAUUACAAGCGAAGUGAGUCUUAAAAUUUUUCUCACCAAUUGUGUUAUGGGCCAAAUUUACUUCAAGGCAGUACAAGUCUGAUGUCUUUUUUUUUUUUUCUGCAUUCAUGGAUUAUUGCAAGGAAUCAAUGAUUUUCUGGACUACUUUCUCGAGUAUUGCUGGGAUGAUGGGACCAUAAAUGAGAGACACAGUGUAACUGGAAAAUCUUUCAAAAGUCAGCCUUGGGAUACAAGAGUAGAAUUCACUGGUAUUGUAAAAUGCAAUGUAGCAUAACAUAAUCUGCUUCUGAUCCCUACCUUAUUGACCGCAACUCUGUAUUUAUUAUGGCUUUCGUUGCUACCCCUCCAGUAGAUAUUGAUGGUAUUCAUGAACAUGUUUCUGGAUCUCAGUGGUGGUCCCGCUUAUGGGGUCAAAUAUAUACAUUCUAAAAAGAAAUAUUUGAAUAUCAAUCUCAUCGAUAUCAUCGACUUUUGGGGCAGAAUAGCAGUGAAAGUACAAGCAUUAGUAGCAUAGCCAAAAUGCAUUCCUCGUCGUUAGUAUGUUUGCUCGUGGUAAUUGUGGCCUCCUGGGCAAAUCGACGACUGUAUCUUUGAUGCACUUGCUAGUGCAUCUGAGAAUUCUUAGGCUUGCAAAUGAUUUAAAGGGAGUACAAAUAUAAACUUCUUUGCUUAAAAUUGAUCUCUAUUAAUUGCAUUUCUCUUCUGUUGCUAAAUUGUGCAUAAUACUGUUCUCACCUUGUUUUUGACAUAUAAAGUGGCAAGUAGGAUUUAUCUUUAUAUUGUCUUUUCCUCCUAUUUGAAUCUGACAUUACAUAUAUGUAUAUAUAUAUUUUUUUUUCCUUUUCAAUUGCAGGCUGGGGAUGAUACAAUACAGUUGUCUUACAAUUACAUCAAUGACUUUGAGACUAAAAAUCAACCUCCUCAAAAGCUUUACACACUUUGUGGUUUUAGUUUGUAGCAAGCUGAGGAUGCUCUUAUCCAGUUGAUUCAUAACCUUGUCAACCUUGCACGCUUUGCAAUUAUAGUUUCUUGACUGUAUUUAGAGGAGAUCAAUCAUUAGAACUAUCUUGAUGGUGUCAUUGAGAAGAUUAGAGGGACAAGAGAGCAGUGUAUGCAAAUAGCCAUAUUCAAACUUGAGCAAGGGGUCCAGAUAGAAGAUAGAAGGUUAUCAUUGGUAAUCAUUAUUAUUUGAACUGCUCAUGAGGACACAAAUUCAUAAUUGAAAACAUUUCUCCUA